CAGCCGCCACGGUAAGACAGAGGUCCCGAGCGUUGUUCGGAUUCAUUGGGCGUAAAGGGUGUGUAGGAGGCCAGGUAAGUCAGGUGUGAAAUCUCAGAGCUUAACUCUGAAACUGCGCUUGAUACUGCUUGGCUAGAGGAUCGGAGGGGGAAGCGGAAUUCUUGGUGUAGCGGUGAAAUGCGUAGAUAUCAAGAGGAACACCGGUGGCGAAGGCGGCUUCCUGGAAGAUACCUGACUCUGAAACACGAAAGCCAGGGGAGCGAAUGGGAUUAGAGACCCCCGUAGUCCCUGUCUCUUAUAC
This 301-nucleotide ribosomal RNA is filed under the name uncultured bacterium. Its description in RNAcentral is "partial 16S ribosomal RNA". It matches the Rfam family "Bacterial small subunit ribosomal RNA", at positions 509 to 807 of the family's 1533-position model. The record is from RNAcentral.